Ribosomal RNA from Caldanaerobius fijiensis DSM 17918, 300 nucleotides. It matches the Rfam family "Bacterial large subunit ribosomal RNA", at positions 2627 to 2925 of the family's 2925-position model. The record is from Rfam. Lineage: Bacteria; Bacillati; Bacillota; Clostridia; Thermoanaerobacterales; Thermoanaerobacteraceae.
CAGUUCGGUCCCUAUCCGUCGCGGGCGCAGGAAAUUUGAGAGGAGCCUUUCCUAGUACGAGAGGACCGGAAAGGACGGACCGAUGGUGAACCAGUUGCAGUGCCAACUGCACGGCUGGGAAGCCAAGUCCGGGAGUGAUAAACGCUGAAAGCAUCUAAGCGUGAAGCACGCCUCAAGAUAAGAUUUCCCAUACCGUAAAGGUAGUAAGACCCCUCGAAGAAGACGAGGUAGAUAGGCUUAAGGUGUAAGAGCAGAAAUGCUUUAAGCUGGUAAGUACUAAUAGGUCGAGGCCUUGACCUU